AUGGCGAAGAAGGCAAGGACCACAAUGGGGGAUGAGCCGACGACAAGCUUGCCGCCCGACGCGGACGUGGUGAUAAUCAGCCCCCAGCGAGAAGAGCGUCACGAAGAAGAGGAGCGCCCGGAAGUGAAUCUCGACGUGACGCCCCCAUCGACCACUGUGACGGAACCCAAUUCUCCGGCAAGGACCUCCACCGACGAGCUUGUCUACACUGAUGACGUGCCGACAAGUGAGUCUGCCGGCCGCCAGGCGACGACAACCGGAGUUGUCGGAGGGGAAGUUGUUCCUCCCCAACAGACUUAG
Molecule: ribosomal RNA, 300 nt
Filed under: Triticum aestivum (bread wheat)
Lineage: Eukaryota; Viridiplantae; Streptophyta; Magnoliopsida; Poales; Poaceae
Description: partial small subunit ribosomal RNA
Source: RNAcentral